Molecule: transfer RNA, 78 nt
Filed under: Candidatus Omnitrophota bacterium
Lineage: Bacteria; Pseudomonadati; Candidatus Omnitrophota
Description: Candidatus Omnitrophica bacterium (sediment metagenome) tRNA-Pro
Rfam family: tRNA
About the family: Transfer RNA (tRNA) molecules are approximately 80 nucleotides in length. Their secondary structure includes four short double-helical elements and three loops (D, anti-codon, and T loops).
Source: RNAcentral
CGGGGAGUAGCGCAGUCCGGCUAGCGCGUCUGCUUUGGGAGCAGAAAGCCGUGGGUUCAAAUCCCACCUCCCCGACCA